This 7851-nucleotide long non-coding RNA is filed under the name Canis lupus familiaris (dog). RNAcentral describes it as "lncRNA (ENSCAFG00000051865.1)". The record is from RNAcentral. Lineage: Eukaryota; Metazoa; Chordata; Mammalia; Carnivora; Canidae.
GCAGUUAAUUCAUCAAACAUUUUCUUUGUAAGGUAAUAGUGUUUAAACAUACAUUCAUUACUAGAUUCUAGGUUGGAUACAUAGAUGACUAAGUCAUCUUGUAAUUUAAAGUCUCAUGAGCCAUAUCUUUAAUAAAAUGGAGUGAGUGCAACACAGGACUAGUAAUAGAAUGCUUCUUUCUCAUGCAAAGGAACAUAUAAUAUAAAUUAUAUUACCCGUAAUCACCAAAGUGCUGGUGACUAGUUUCUCCAAAAAAGGAGAAAAAAUAAAGUCCUGAUUUGUAACAUUUGCCAGUCUUUAAAAUAAAAAUGUUGCCACCAUGGCUGAUUUCAAGCUACCAAUGUGAUGUCAUUGAACAUGGAGUUAGAAGAUAUGCUCACAGAAAUGUGAAAUCAGAUAUGCACUGGUUCCAGUACACCAUUAUCUGUUAUGCUUUGUAUUGCAUGAUUUUGUUUUGGUGGAACUUAGGUUUUUGAAAUAAAUAAACGUUACAAAAAUCACCAGCUGAAUUGAUUUUUUAAGUUUAGGGAAGUCACUCAACUUCUAUGGAUCUCAGUUUCUUACUUUAUAAUAUUCAUUUGAUGCCCUAUACCAAUUUAAAAUGUUGAAGAAUUAUGUAACUGAUGAUAAUUGGAAGGGCUGAUUGCACAGCUCUUUGUUGACUAGUUAGCAUAUCAGUAGUGGUGCCAGGUAUCACAGAAUUUAUCUUUUUUCAUGCCUUUUUGACACAAUCCAUAAGUGCAAAUAUUUUGAGAUUACAACAUUAAAUUAUCAAUUUUAUCUGAGGUUUUGAAAAAUAUUGAAGACUUAUGUAACAUUGAGCCAAAGGCAAUUAAAACCACUGGCAUUACCAUCUUCUAACAGCUUUCUUUCUCCGUUAAGAAAUAAAAUUAAAUAUCUUUAAACUGGUUAUUCCUUAGAUUGCCUAUCAUUCUUUUCUCUCUCAUUAUGCUCCAAACAUAAAGGCCCCUUGCUAUUCCUUGAGAACAUCAAAUUACCUCAGACUCAGGAUUUUGGAUAUGCCUCUUCCUGAUAAAGUUAUGUUUUCACACACACACACACACACACACACACACACACAGUCUCUCUCUGUCUCUGUCUCUUUCUCUCUGUCUCUCUCUCUCUCUCUUUUAGUUGGGUAGAAGAAAAACAUUACCUUCAUGCACUCAACUGAACACUUUCUAGAGGGUAAGCUCCAUCAACUAAAUUGAAUAUAUUCACAUAGGAGUAUUUUUUUAUUCUUUUAGUGUUUAUUCAGCUGAAGCUAAUGCAUUAUAAGACAUAGCUGGACAGAAAAAUAUGUAACAACUUUUCUGGUCCAUGGCAAGAAAGGAGAAGGAGGCAGAAUUUGUCUUCAAAAAUCAAGUAAUUAACACUGAUGUAGUUGGGAUCACUAAGGAUCCUUUUCAUUUGUAUCUAUUUGUUGAAUAAAUAGACAUCCAGUUAUUUGUAUUGGAUUUGUUUUCUACUUCAACAGCCUGGUUUUUGGCUACCCAUAAGUAGGUUUGUGAAAGAUGUGUUGACAUUUAAUUUAUGCAUAGCUCAAAAUCAAUUUAUUCUAGACAGAAAAAAUUGGUUUUGGAAGAGAAGGUUGAGAUUAUAAAUAUAAGUGUUUUUUCUUGCAGAUGGAGAAGUCUCCUAUAGUGUCACUUUUACCAACUUUAUAAACAUUUUAUGAGAGAGUCAUGGAUUAUAUAUAGAUUUAAUUGUCAAGACAAUAAAGAUUUAUGAGAAAAAUUAAACUACAAAAAAGAAUGAUAAUUUUUGGUGGCUUCAAAAUAGAAUUAACAAUAUUUUAUUGUUGCUGAAUGCCAUAGUAAUAACUUGUCACAUUAUCAGUUGCCCUUUGUCAUACCAGGAUAUUUGUGCUAAGUAUCUUCUUUUGGAUUUGGUUUUCUGCUAUGCAUUAGUCUUCUUUUUCCUUUGUCUCUUUAAAGUUAUAUCUACCUCCAUUAAUAUUUGACUCUAGAUAUUUUCUCCAGGAUGCUUUGAUGCAGAUUAAUUUGCCUGCAGAGAAAUAGCAGAGACAGAUGCUUCUCUGUCUCCUGAAUUCUCACUUUCAAGAACAGUGAAAUUAAAGGUUAACAAGGUACAAACAGAUAAGUUAUGCCAUUGGUCUUGGAAUCCAUCUGCUAUUGUACUUAUAAUAAAGUAAGUCAUAUGGUCAAAUGUGCAAUUUGUUAUUGAUGUCCAUUUGCUGAUUUAGUUAAUAAAAAACAAAUUAGUUAUCUUGUUCUGAUUACUUGAUAAUUUUCUAAUUCAAAUUUAAACAUAGUAUUUUAUCUACAGAAAAGAGAAACAAUAAUACAGCCUAAUUUAUGAGUUAAAACAACCACAGAAUAUCAAUUAUUCUAUAAAAGGAAAAUUUGAUGGAGAGUGUGGUAUUGUGUUUUACUGAAGACCUGGAUUGUGUUCAUGAUGACUCCAUAUAGUGACCUUGGAAAUUUUAUAUGACCUCUUCAAGGUUCACUAUCUUCCCCUGUAAAAUGUAAAUAAAAUAAUAUCUGUUUCAUAGAAUCACUGUGAGGAUUCAAUGAAAUAAAUUAUGAACAAUUUUUAGUACAACAGCUGGCUUAAAAUCUUUAUCUAAGGAUCUAGAACCUGGCAAGGGAAAACAUUCUAAUUUCUUGGGCUCUAACCUACAGAAAUAGGGGUAACUUAAAGUAGAAACAUCUAAAUGCAAGGGUCUCCUGGGUGAUACUUCGCCUUGAGCUCAUCUCCAAGCCACACAAAAACCUGAGAAUUGUGCUGAAUCCUUCCUACUUAUGUGAUCUUGGCUCCUCCAAUCAGACAAUAUAGCUAAAUACCGUGAACAUGUCCACAGUUAAGAAAUAUUUAGCUAUGUAAAAUGUAGAGGAAAUGUAGAAAUAAAUUUAUAUUACCAAAUCAGAUUUAUUGAAAGUUUAACAUGUAUUAUUAUAUAAGCCAUACUUCUUGAAUGUAAUAAAAUUCAUUAAAGAUAAUGAAAGGGAACACAUUAAAAUUUUGAUAAUCUCUGUAGAAUGCUUAGUUCAAUAUCUAGAAUUAUACUUGGGCAAGCUGCUUGCUUUCUAUUUCUACAUACAGUGGUUUGGAAAAUUCUAAGAUUAGGUUGUUAAAGGAAAGUGCAUGAAACUGCUGAUUCAUUACUUUUCUAAUAAUAAACUAUGAUGAGUAAGUAUAAAUGAUUAUCAGGGAAUAGAAUGAGCAAUAGCUAUAAUGAACACAGAGGGGGUACAUUUCCAAAAUAGCAUGUGCCAUAUGUACACACAAACCCAAUUAUUCAAGUAAUGUACACAUCACUCAAGCCAUGUUUUGCAAAUCAGCAAACUUUUUAAAGUUCCUUCUAAUGAGAAGUUUGUUGAUUGUUGCCCAGGGAAAAGUAAGGAGGAUCUGAGUAGUACUUUCUGGAGAAAAUUACAGCUGGUUUUGGAUUUCUUUCCUUUAAUCAUCAAGAAAAAUAAUCAUAAAGAAAUUACACUUAGAAGCCUUUCGUUCCAUAGUUAGGACUCACAUCAAGCAUCUAAUAUAUUAAUUAGAGCCCUCUGAGGGGCUAUAUAGAUCUAACUUGCUACCCUUUCAUGAAGAAAAGUUAAGGUAUAUAUGUUUACUUCUACAAGUUGAUUUUUUGCAUUGUUUUCAUCUAAUGCCUUAACUGUGCCAGUUCUGUAUAUUCUAAAGGAAUUUCUCAUGUUUUUAUAACUUGGAACAAAUAACAAAAGACCACAUAGUUUGUGGAUUGAAUUGAAGUUUUAACCGUCUCCCUUUCUAGCUAGAAAACUCUUAAGAUACAACCACAGCAGAGUUUACUAUUUCUUCCUAUAGUCCCCCACAUAUAUGUGAUUUAAUAUGCAUUUAUCACCCUUUUUGUUAUCUGCCUACUAAUGUUUUUUCAAACUAAGUACCGAUCAAGGAUAUAACUUUAUUAAUUAUGAUAUCCCUAGUACAACACCUUAUAACUCUUAGUAACUUAAUAAAUGUUUGCUGAGUGAAUAAGUCUCCUUCACCAUAAAGAAAUAUAUAUUACUAUGCAGCUAUUUUCUUAGGGUUAUAUGAGAUACAUAUGAAAGCAUCAAAGACAGGGCUUAAAAUAUAGUGAGUACUCAAUAUUUAACUAUGCUUAUGGACAGAUAAUUAGCUUUUCCAGUAUUACUUCUUCUUUAAUUUUUUUCAUAAAGUAGUUAUAUUAUUCUCACAAAUUAACCUCCAUUUCUGUUUCUCUUGUGGGGUCAUUUGCUAAAAUACUAAAAUACAAUCUACAUUUGGUAGCUGCAGUGACCUCUACAAGACAUUCAUUGAAUUCACUCACUUCUGUCAUUUUAACAAUUAUUAUUGCAGCAUUUUCCAAUCUUUUUUUACAUCUUUGUUUUACCCAAUCUUGGAUUUUUCAUAAAGGUCUAUUUAUGUUUAUGUCUAUAUGUCUAUUAUGUCUUCCUCUUUCUAUAAAAUAAAACUACAAGUACAUACCAACUCUUAUUUUGUCUGUUUACAAACAAACUUAACUCCAACUAAAAAAAACAAAACAAAACAAAACAAAAAAACAAAAAAUCCGAUCAGGAGCACCUGGAUAGCUCAGUCUGUUAAGCAUUGACUCUUUAUUUCAGCUCAGGUCAUGACCUUAGGGUCAUGAGUUGAAGCCCUAUGUUGGGUUCCAAGCUGGUCAGGAAGUCUGCUUAAGAUUCUCUCACCCUCUGCUCUGUCUCAUCUCCCUGUUCCUACUCACACUCUCUUUCUCUCUAAGAUAAGUAAGUAAAGAAAUAAAAAUAAAAAUAAAAAAAUAUCUGACCAGAAUAAUAACAAAGUAAUGAAAAUUCUGGACAUAUCAAUUAUAUUAUUUCAACAAAUAAGAAUGACAAUCAGACUGUGAACAAAAAACUAAUUCACUAUUAUUGAAAUCAGAAAGUACAUAAAGAGAAUCACAGAUUGGUCUACUCUUCAGGACCAUACAUGAUGCUUUACCAAGAAAGGAAGUUGGCCAGGGAUCUAUUUCAGGUUCUUAUAGAAGUUGAUUGUCUAGAUAGACAGAGAGAUAUAAAUAUAGCUAUAGAUAUAGAUAUAGUGUUGAUAAAUUUGUAUGAUAUGUACUUAAUAUGAUGUAAUUGUUGAAAAUCAUAUUUUACCUCUGUGAUAUUAUCCCCAAAAUCCAGUAUCUCAUUCUCAUCAUUAGAAAAACAUCCGACAAAAAGGAAUUCAGGGAUAUUCUACAAAACAUUUACCCAACAAACUGUCAGGGUCAUCAACAACUAGGAGGAAGGAAGAAAUUCAUAAUCUAGAGGAGCCUGGCCCUUGGCAUCAGAGUUCAAGAGUUAAACAUUGACCUUGUAUCUUCCUGCUUUUAGAUCUUAUGCAAAUUGUCAAAAUAUUUGAGAUACUCUUUUUUUUUUCAUCUAUAAAAUUAGAAUGACAGUAUUGGAGCCAAAGGCUUUAUAUUAAAUGAGAUAAUCUAAGUAAAAGACCUAGAUGCCUAGAACGUUGAAGGCAGUAAGUAGAUACUGGCUCUCUCCUUCCUUCUCCUUCAAGCUCUACCAGCAACUUAAUCUAUUCUAAAGUGCUCGAGGUUACAUCACAUUCCUGAUAGUUAGCUAUUACUUUACUCUUUUUUAAUUAUUAAAAUAAAACAUUAAAAGUGAUUUAUUUAUUGUUGGGAUAUAUAUCUAUAGCAGCCUUAAAUAUAAACUGAAUUUAUGACAGAAGUAGUUUCCUUGAAAAUGCUUUCCUCCAAUUUUUUAAAAAAAUCACAGUUUUGAUUGUUUUGCUAUUAAAUCUUUAGGUUAUAUAUACCAUUCUCUUAUGAUAGUAUCUUUUUUACACUUUAACUACAAAGUGAAACAUUACAUAUACUAAUAUUUACAAAAUCUUAAGAAUGCUGAGAUUUAUAAAGAGAGUUUGUGGUUUAUAACAUAAAUGACACUUGAAUAUUUACUGGGUUUGUAAAAAUGGCAAGAGUCACAAUCAUCUCAUUAUAGACAAUGAGAAUUUUCCUAUAUUUUAUUUAGAAACAAAAAUGACUUUAAGAAUUGCAAGCCAUUUAGAUAUUUCACAGAAUUUUUAUUUCCUCCUUAUGUUGUAUUUUAGAAAAGUCUGACCUACCCUAUUGUGCUUCCUUUAAACAUAAGCACAAAAUAAUCACUAGUUUGAAAAUUAUAUCAUAUCAGUUUCUCACAAACCAUGAGAAAGCUAGCAUCUACUUUGAUUCUGGAAUAGAAGAAAAAUAAAGUUAGUCUAUAAUUUCAGCCUAGUGCUUAUUUUGUAUUUUGGAGGAGGACAACUUUAAUGUGAAUCAUAGGUAAUUCCUUGGUUGUGGUAAUGUUUCAAAUAUACAUUGGAUCUUAAAAAUGAAAUCACUUAUACACUUCCUUCAAAGUAUUCUGCAGUGGGAUUAUAGAAAAGUAAUAUAAAAUAUUUCUAAACAAAUUUUCCCUUGCUUGCUGUUGACUUUAAUUUUAUUCAGCCAAAAAUAUACACAAGUUGAUACUCAAUAAUACUAAAUUGACUACAAUUUCUCUUUCUCCUGAGGAAUAUGUUUCAUUAUCCACUUACACCCAUUAUUUGUGAAUAAAGAGGGUAUUUUGUAUAUUGGCAAAGAUAUAGAAGACAUGAAACUUCCCUGAUGUAAUUUCAGCUAAUUAAAUACUCAUUAAGAAAGAAAUAGAAAAUGCCUGAGAACUUGCUUAAAGUAAUUUUAAUUUUUAAUCAUUUUAUUCUGUCACUAAUUAAACAGGUUGAUGUGUACCUAUAGGCUAUUUACCUAGUUUCUUACAUUUUACCCUAUAAUUUAGUGUGUGCCACUAAUAAAAGCAUGAUCGUUUUUGAAGAUGUUCAGAUUUUUCCCACAUUGUUUUAUUUUUAAGUACAAUGCUUGUAUAAUUCCCAUAGAUUUGCUAUAUACUUUUAUAUACUUCCCUUCAAUUCUACAAAAACAGAAUUGUGGUAACCCUCAUAUUUAAGAAACAGGUAAGAUGGAGGAAGAAAAUUCACUAAAAAGGAGGACAAAUAAAUGGUAAAUGACACAAAAAGACGAUCAUAAUGGAAAAACAAUAAGACACAGUUAAAAAGUAUGGCCUAAUGUCUAUGAAUAUUCGGGAUGGAAUCCCAGCUUUGACUAUUUAUAAGCUGUGUGACCUAUCUGAUUUAUCCAGCUCUCUGAACCUUGGUUCUUCCAACUCUAAAUAAGUUAUAAUGCUAAUUACCUUAAAUAAUUGUGAGGAUUAAUAAUACUGACUAUAUCACAUUUAUCACAGUGUCUGGCACGUGAUUGUGGCUGCCAAUUAAUUUUGGAUCACCCUUCACUAACUUCUUUCCAGAGUUUAGCUAUAAAUAAUAUCAUCCCAAUUUAACAUUAAGGAAAACUGAGACUUAUCAUCCUAUCUCCAUUUUUAUGUAUUAUAAAUUAGGGAUAAUUAUUUUAUUGUCCUGCCAAUUCCACAUCAAUGCUCUGGGAAUAAAUCAAUUUCAGUAUUGCAGAUGAAAGUAUGUUGUCAACUACACAAUGUUGUAAAUGUCCUAGAAGAGGCACAUGCUGCACAUAAGUCAUCAGAUUCUCAGCAAAUAUGGCAGCACCAAGGUGUAAGUCUGGUGCUUUGCAUUCUAAUUCAAAUUUGUUCAUUCUGAAAGUGUUUUUAUUUUUAUAAGACCAAAAAGUACUUCCACAUUAUGUCAAGUUCUGAAAACUUAAAUUAGAAAGAUAACAAAGAAGUGGAAGUUAAUGGAUACAUUUGUGAUACAUUUUAAAGUUAGAAUGGAGGGCAGCCCGAGGGGCUCAGCGGUUUAGCCCCACCUUCAGCCCAGGGCCUGAUCCUGGAAACCCGGGAUCGAGUCCUACGUCAGGCUCCCUGUAUGGAGCCUGUUUCUCCCUCUGCCUAUGUGUCUCUG